AAUAUUAGACAAUGGGGGCAACCCUGAUCCAGCCAUGCCUCGUGUGUGAAGAAGGUCUUCGGAUUGUAAAGCACUUUAAGUUGGGAGGAAGGGCUUUAUGCUCAUCCCCUGAUGUUUUACCGUUACCAACAGAAUAAGCACCGGCUACCUCUGUGCCAGCAGCCGCGGUAAUACAGAGGGUGCAAGCGUUAAUCGGAAUUACUGGGCGUAAAGCGCGCGUAGGUGGUUCAGUAAGAUGGGUGUGAAAUCCCCGGGCUUAACCUGGGAACUGCUUUCAUAACUGCUGAGCUAGAGUACGGUAGAGGGUAGUGGAAUUUCCUGUGUAGCGGUGAAAUGCGUAGAUAUAGGAAGGAACACCAGUGGCGAAGGCGACUACCUGGACUGAUAAUGACACUGAGGUGCGAAAGCGUGGGGAGCAAAC
RNAcentral lists this ribosomal RNA (421 nucleotides) under uncultured bacterium. RNAcentral's name for it is "partial 16S ribosomal RNA". It matches the Rfam family "Bacterial small subunit ribosomal RNA", at positions 360 to 773 of the family's 1533-position model. The record is from RNAcentral.